Bos indicus x Bos taurus (hybrid cattle) is the source of this 261-nucleotide long non-coding RNA. The record is from Ensembl. NCBI's taxonomy places the organism in Eukaryota, Metazoa, Chordata, Mammalia, Artiodactyla, Bovidae.
UUUGGAGACCCUGCCUACGAAUAUCCUUCAAUGUUUGCCCUUUGACCUUGUGUUCCCCAGGUUGCUCCAUAGUGCUCCCUGACACCGCACCAAACUCUAGACGUGGAGCCACAGACACAUGUCCCUCUCUGAAGAGGAGCUCUGGGCGUCCACAUUUCCUGGCUCAGCAGCAUCUCUGAUGAACGAGAUCCUACUCUGCUGGCAGAUGGAAAAGUACCUGUUUGGAAGACCCAAGGUCAGUCAGUUCAGUCGCUCAGUUGU